This 153-nucleotide microRNA precursor is filed under the name Paramuricea clavata. Lineage: Eukaryota; Metazoa; Cnidaria; Anthozoa; Malacalcyonacea; Plexauridae. The record is from RNAcentral.
AUGUUGUGCUGCACCCCGUGAACAAUAUUGUUGAACAAGUUGUUCAACCAUCAGUACUGUUGCAAGUUGUUAACAUGAUUGUCAACAAGUUGCAACAAUGUUGAUGGUUCAACAACUUGUUAACAAUAUUGUUCACGGGGUGCAGCACAACAU